CCCACGUUUUCUCGUCGUCUCUCCCAAUGGCCACACUUUCCAUAAAUUAAUCAUUUUAAUAGGCCAUUCGUGGACCGGCGUAUCCGUUGCAGUUUAUAGCCACGCGCGUGUACGCGAGUGCCCGCGGCUGGAUUAGCCAUAUUUCCAUUCGUGGCCGUUACCAUAAGCGACAUUAAUCGCGUCUAUAUGCGUUAUGUUGAUUAUACAACUAGGAUCUAAUAGUUGCAAAUAGACCGCUCGAUGCCAGUGCAAUGACGCAGUAGUAAGAAAUAAUGACACGGUGAUGAGUCAGUGGGGCAAGACUUAAAAAAUAUUGAUACGUGGAUAUGUAACUAAACCAAUCGAGGCGAUCGGUUUCAAAUUCCAUUUUUGCAAUUACAGAAGACGUAUAGCUGCCUGGAAAGAUAUCAACCGAUAAAAAAAGUAUUUUAUUUCUCGUCGAAAUGAAAUUUUUAUUAAAACCCGAUGAAUUCGUCCUGUAUGAAACACGAUAUAUUCGACAUAUUGAAACGCGUGCCAAUUCGACAAAAAUUGAUUGACAAAUAUUUUAUUCGAAUUAUUAGAAAAUUGAAUUCGUCUAGAACGAACUUCACAUAGCAUAGGCAAUUCGCACGAUCGUGAAACAGAUUGCGAACCAUGGCGAGAUUAAAACAUCAUGAAACAGUUUACACGAAACCGGAAGUCGUCGAGUAUGACGUUAAUUUUAUUAACAUAUUAAAUCAACGACCAAAAGAGGAUUACGCAUUCUAAUAAGCAAUUAGUGUCAAUGCGCACGCGGAGAAAGAUUCAUGAUGUAUAAAAGAGUUUAUCUGUACGUCGAAGAAAGGAACCCACCAGAAGCUGAAAGCCAAGUAGCCUCUGCAGGCGUGCACCGUCGCCCCGUAAAUUAUUCCCGCCCGGCGUAAACAUUAAACAAGUAUCGUUUAUACGCGCCGUGACCAGCCGAGGAAAAGAAAGAAAGGAAGAAAGAAAGUUCCACUUUUACCGCGAGCUCCUUUUACUUCGGCUCUGCGAACAGCCUUCGAGUUGCUCAAGAUCGAAUCCUGUUGCGUCAAUGUUCCAUGAUUCAAUUUGAUUUCACGUUCAUCGUGAUCCGAUAUUUAAUAUCUUCGUAUCAUUAGAAAGUAUUUUUUAGCAGGAAAAACAGAAAAAAAGACCAGGCAAUAUCACUGGAAAAGAUAAAAGAAAA
Molecule: long non-coding RNA, 1189 nt
Filed under: Eufriesea mexicana
Lineage: Eukaryota; Metazoa; Arthropoda; Insecta; Hymenoptera; Apidae
Description: uncharacterized LOC108548927, transcript variant X2
Source: RNAcentral